AACGAACGCUGGCGGCAUGCCUAACACAUGCAAGUCGAACGAACCCUUCGGGGUUAGUGGCGCACGGGUGCGUAACGCGUGGGAAUCUGCCCUUUGCUUCGGAAUAACUCAGGGAAACUUGUGCUAAUACCGGAUGAUGUCGAAAGACCAAAGAUUUAUCGGCAAGGGAUGAGCCCGCGUAGGAUUAGGUAGUUGGUGGGGUAAAGGCCUACCAAGCCGACGAUCCUUAGCUGGUCUGAGAGGAUGAUCAGCCACACUGGGACUGAGACACGGCCCAGACUCCUACGGGAGGCAGCAGUGGGGAAUAUUGGACAAUGGGCGAAAGCCUGAUCCAGCAAUGCCGCGUGAGUGAUGAAGGCCUUAGGGUCGUAAAGCUCUUUUACCAGGGAUGAUAAUGACAGUACCUGGAGAAUAAGCUCCGGCUAACUCCGUGCCAGCAGCCGCGGUAAUACGGAGGGAGCUAGCGUUGUUCGGAAUUACUGGGCGUAAAGCGUACGUAGGCGGUUAUUCAAGUCAGAGGUGAAAGCCCGGGGCUCAACCCCGGAACGGCCUUUGAAACUAGGUAGCUAGAAUCUUGGAGAGGUCAGUGGAAUUCCGAGUGUAGAGGUGAAAUUCGUAGAUAUUCGGAAGAACACCAGUGGCGAAAGCGACUGACUGGACAAGUAUUGACGCUGAGGUACGAAAGCGUGGGGAUCAAACAGGAUUAGAUACCCUGGUAGUCCACGCCGUAAACGAUGAUAACUAGCUGUCUGGGCACUUGGUGCUUAGUGGCGCAGCUAACGCAUUAAGUUAUCCNCUGGGGAGUACGGCGCAGGUUAA
This 819-nucleotide ribosomal RNA is filed under the name uncultured bacterium. RNAcentral describes it as "bacterial SSU rRNA". It matches the Rfam family "Bacterial small subunit ribosomal RNA", at positions 28 to 897 of the family's 1533-position model. The record is from RNAcentral.